GACGAACGCUGGCGGCGUGCCUAAUACAUGCAAGUAGAACGCACAGUUUAUACCGUAGCUUGCUACACCAUAAACUGUGAGUUGCGAACGGGUGAGUAACGCGUAGGCAACCUGCCUGGUAGCGGGGGAUAACUAUUGGAAACGAUAGCUAAUACCGCAUAAUAUUAAUUAUUGCAUGAUAAUUGAUUGAAAGAUGCAAUUGCAUCACUACCAGAUGGACCUGCGUUGUAUUAGCUAGUAGGUGAGGUAACGGCUCACCUAGGCGACGAUACAUAGCCGACCUGAGAGGGUGAUCGGCCACACUGGGACUGAGACACGGCCCAGACUCCUACGGGAGGCAGCAGUAGGGAAUCUUCGGCAAUGGACGAAAGUCUGACCGAGCAACGCCGCGUGAGUGAAGAAGGUUUUCGGAUCGUAAAGCUCUGUUGUAAGAGAAGAACGGGUGUGAGAGUGGAAAGUUCACACUGUGACGGUAUCUUACCAGAAAGGGACGGCUAACUACGUG
Molecule: ribosomal RNA, 505 nt
Filed under: uncultured bacterium
Lineage: Bacteria
Description: partial 16S ribosomal RNA
Rfam family: Bacterial small subunit ribosomal RNA
Source: RNAcentral